Molecule: long non-coding RNA, 4388 nt
Filed under: Sorghum bicolor (sorghum)
Lineage: Eukaryota; Viridiplantae; Streptophyta; Magnoliopsida; Poales; Poaceae
Description: long non-coding RNA (SBIC_LNC011311)
Source: RNAcentral
GACCAAACUGUGUAAUUAGCUUUUAUUUUCGUCUAUAUUUAAUACUCCAUGCAUGUGUUUAAAGAUUUGAUGUGAUGGGGCUGAAAAAAUUUACAAAAUUUUUUGGGAACUAAAUAAAGCCUUAAUGAACCUUAUUGACUGUUUGUUGGCUGGACUAUUUUGACUGUUUUUUUAUCUGUUUCUUUUGAGAGCCAACUAUACAUUUUCUAAAUGACUGCUAUUGAAUGAAUUAGUUGAUAAUGGUUUUAGUACCAAAAAUUACAUUUACCUCUGCAGCGCACGUCGUUCUCAGACUGUUUCCAAAUUAGACCUUUAAUGUACUUUUUCUAUGGCUGGUGCUGGUACGUAUUUAUUCUCACCCAUACUAAUUAAUUUUGGCUCGUGGCUUUACCAUGCGCAGCCGGUGCGAGGAGAUAGUGCAGCAACAUAUCCAUAUUAGUUACGACGCAUGCACAUAAUGGCUUUUAAUGAAAAAAAUCAUAACUCCUAAACAAAAUAUCCAAAUUAAAUUUCGAUUACACCAUUUGAUUUCUUGUAAUAAAUCCUUCAAAACAAGAUCCCACAUGGAUAUAUUUAGAUAAAAUUUUAAUAACGAAUAAUUAUCAUAUAAAGAUAGAACAUUUUUGUAUUGAGCAUGUUUAAGGUUUAAAAAAUAAUGUUCCAUCUUCAUAAUAAAAUAUUCUAAGAACCGUAUUGGUAUUAUAAACAUGGCGACGGAUGUUCCAUCUUCAUUAAAAAAUAAUGUUCUAUCUUCAUAAGAGACGAUGUUCCAUCUUCGUUAUAGUUAGCAAAUCAAGUAUCCAAAUUAAAUUCAGAUUGCGCUAUUGGAUUCCUUAUACUAAAUGCUUCAAAAUAAGAUCUCAACAUGAAUAUAUUCAGAUAAAGUUUUAUUAACGAAUAUGUAUUUCAUAAAGAUAGAAUAUUUUCUUUUAUUAUUGAAUAAAGGUGGUGUUCUAGAUUCAUAAAACAAUAUUCCGCCUUCACAGAAAAAUAUUUUAAAUUUAGAAAAAACAAUAUUCCAUAUGAAAACACACUUAAAUGAUUGGUAUUAUAAUACCGAUAAAUAAAUAAAAUAAACAUAUAGAAUUAUAUAAUAAAUAACAUUACACAAGGGAAACAUCAUGCGUAUAAUAUAACAAAUGGAACAUAGAAAAAUACUACAUAACAUGUUGUAUAAAUACUACAUAACAUGUUGUAUGAAUACUACAUAAUAUGUUGUGAAAAUACUUAAAGAUAAUCAUACAGUAUCUCAUUCAUCAUGUGUAUACCAUAUACAAUGGAAUAUGGAAAAAAUAAAAAGCAAACAUCACAUGUAUGUUAAGUGAACAUAACUAAAUACAUUACGGAACAUCACUAAAUAUAUUAUAGAACAUCACAAAUACAUUACGAACAUCACUCGGUACAUCAUAGAACACCGCAUGUAUACUAAGUGAACAUCACUAAAUACACCAUAGAACAUUACUAAAUACAUUAUAGAACAUCAUAUAUAUAUUACCUGAACAUCACUAAAUAUAUCAAAAAAAACAUCACAUGUAUACUAAAUGAACGUCACUAAAUUCACUAUCGAACAUUAACAUGAACAUCGCUAAAUACAUCAUAAAACAUCACUAAAUACAAUAUAGAACACCAUUAAAUACACUAUAGAACAUCACAUAUAUAUUACGAGAAUAUCACUAUGUACAUCAUCAUAUAUACUAAGUGAACAUCGCUAAAUGAACCAUCGAACAUCACCAAAUGCAAUAUAGAACAUCGCCAAAUACAAUAUAGAAUAUUGCAUUAUCAGAUAUAUAUUACACGAACAUCACAAAAAAAAACGUAGAACAUCACAAAAAUACCACACGAACAUCACAAAAAAAUAUCAUAGAACAUUACAUAUAUAACACCUGAACAUCAUAAAAAAUCAUAGAACAUUACAUAUACUACAUAAACAUCAUAAAAAACAUCAAAGAACAUGGUAUUGUAUACCACAUGAACAUUGCAAAAAACAUCAUUUUACAUCACAUCUCAUGAAAUAUAGAAAAGAAAAAAGUAAAUAUAAAAAAUAAUUAAGUAAGAUAAAGUAGAAAAAUAAAAAAUCUAUAAAAACAUAAAGACAAAAAAGAAAUAAAAAAAUAAAUAAAACUAAUUAAUGAUAGUAAAUAAAAAAUAAAAUAAAAAAUAAUAUGGAAAAUUGAAUGAAACAGAAACAAAAAAUAAUAUCACUCGCUUCCUAUGGUAUUAGUCCACUAAAAAAAUUAAACAACCACCAUAGAAUCAAUAUCAAGACGUUUGUAGCGUUUCAAUCACAUGCAUGCAUGUAUUCCACAAAAAAUAAUCUAAUAAACACCUUUAUAACCAGCACUAAAUUAAUGUGUUGCCAAAAGAAAAAAAAAAUGAAUGAAAUAAAAAAUGAAAAAAAGAAAGGGAAAAAAUGAAGCACAAAAAGAAAUAAAAAAAAUAGAGGAAAAAAUAAAAGAAAGAUAAAAAUAUAAAAUAACAUAAAAGAAAAAGAAAAAUAAAUUGAAUCUAUAAACAUGAAUUAGGGAAAAAGAAAAAGAAAAAACAAAAUAAAGAAAAGAAAAAAUACCAAGAAAAAACAAAUAGGAAAACAAAAAAAAUAAAACUAUACAACAACGGGCAGGAAGGAAAAUGAAAAGAUAAAGAAAAAUAAAAUAAAAUAAGAAAAAGAAAAAAGAAAAAGAAAUAAAUAAAAAGAAAAAGAAAAAGAAAAAGAGAAGAAAACUAACAGCAACGAUCGGGAGGGAAAAGUAAAAGAAACAUAAAAAGAAAGAAAAGAAGAAGAAAAGAAAAGGAAAGAAAAAAGAAAAAAAAAAGAAACGUACGUACCUGAUAAGCCGUCGCGCGCGCGGAAGUCAUUGGGCGGGAAUCGUCGGACGGGGUCUCCGGUCCGAACGUUCGGACCGGAAGAUUUCUGGGACUGCGGUGCCGCGCGGUGGAGUAAAAAAAAAUCCACGAGGGUGAAGGGCUUGUUUAGUUUCAAAUUUUUUUUUUAAAAAUCACACUUUCGCUUGUAUUUGAUAAAUAUUGUCCAAUCAUGGACUAACUAGGCUCAAAAGAUUCGUCUCGUCAAUUUCGACAAAACUGUGCAAUUAAUUUUUAUUUUCGUCUAUAUUUAAUACUUCAUGUAUAUGUCUAAAGAUUCGAUGUGACGGAGAAUCUGAAAAAUUUUACAAAAUUUUUUAGAGCUAAACAAGGCCGAAGCCGUGAAGGCACGCUCGGUUUUCUCCCAGAAAUCACGGUUUGGCGCCCCGGACGGUUGUCCUACCAUGCAAUUCGGCUGUUGCCCAGCCCGGACGAAAUCACGAACACGAGGCCACCGACCUGAUAACCUCUGCGCCUUUGGCUCCUGCAGUCGUUCGAUAGGGCAAGUUUCUUGGGGUUUGGUGAGGAAAACGACGAGGGCCCCCAGCUUUCGGGCAGACAGGCUUCUGGACGUUUGAAACGUGGGAGCCGUUCCCGCGACCGUGCGCAAAAUGACACAGCGGUAGGUUUGUCAGCGUACUGCUUUUGCUGUUCUUGAGGCGCAGUUAAGCAGCUAUCUGCUUGUCUUGUUCUGUGUCGUCUUUGGGCAAACUUGCAGUCAUUCCCCUAGUAGUAGUACAGCUCAGUGGCCUUUAGCUAGGGUAAAGCUCCAAAAUCACCUCCCUGGCUCUUUCAAAUUAAUGUGAAAGAGAGAUGAUUUUGGAGCAAAGAGAGUGUCCUCCGAAUUGGUUCAGUACAAGCAUUUUUGGUUCAUGGUUCUCGAAAAAGAAAAGGGAACAGUUUGGUGCAUGGAUUGCCAAAAGGAAUUGGACACCUAGCUAGUAAGACACCACCAAUGACCAACGUAAGCACGUAAUACUAGAACUGACCCAAUAAAAAAAUUAGAUGAUAUAGAUGGUGAAAUUUUAGAACACUACUAGACACAUAAUGGAAAACACAUUUACUUUUAUACUAUGACACCUCUCAUCAUCUUUCCUAUAUCUAGAAGGGGUUCUCUAAUGUUGUGGUCUCAUUAGCAACCUUAGAAAUUUACUUAGGUUCGGACGACAUGCACAUGAAGACUAAGCGACAUAUACUUAGAGAGUGAAUGUGAUCCAUGCAAGAAAAGGAGAUAAGAAUGAAAGCGACGUGUCCUGAGAACUAAGAAGAGAAAAGCAUGGUAGAGACCACUAGUGGAAAUGAUUUUGGUGGGUUCUAUGUGUGAAUCGUACCCUAAGUCGCUUUCAGCCUUAGCUUUUUCCCUCACACACAUCACACAUACUUAUUAUCUGUGUCUUGUUUAGUUCACCUAAAAAACUAAAAACUUUUCAAGAUUUCUCGUCAUAUCAAUUUUUACGGCACAUGCAUAAAGCAUUAAAUACAGUCAAAAACAAAAACUAAUUACACAUUUUUUUUUGUAAAUCGCG